This 5120-nucleotide long non-coding RNA is filed under the name Trifolium pratense (red clover). RNAcentral's name for it is "long non-coding RNA (TPRA_LNC005843)". Lineage: Eukaryota; Viridiplantae; Streptophyta; Magnoliopsida; Fabales; Fabaceae. The record is from RNAcentral.
AAAUAGAAAGCCUACUUUGUUUUAAAUUCUAUGAAAUAGACUGCCCUGAUGGAAAAUUAGAAUGACCCUGAUGGAAAAAAUAGAAUGUCCCUGAUGGAAAAUAUAUGGUAUUUGAACCUAUACGGUUCGAUAAAUGGGAGGAUGUUGAUACUGUGACCCUUAAUGGAAUGAAAAUAGAAAGCCUACUUUGUUUUAAAUUCUAUAAAAUAGAAUGACCCGAUGGAAAAAAUAAAAUGUCCCUGAUGAAAAAUAUAUGGUAUUAGGACCUAUAUGGUUCGAUAAAUAGUAGGAUGAUGAUACUGUGACCCUUAAUCGAAUGAAAAUAGAAAGACUACUUUGUUUUAACUUCUAUAUAAUAGAAAGACCCGUUGGAAAAAGAAGAAAGACCCUGAUGGAAAAAAUAGAAUGUACCUGAUGGAAAAUAUAUGGCAUUUGAACCUAUACAGUUCGAUAAAUGGGAUGAUGAUGGUACUGUGACUCUUAAUCGAAUGAAAAUAGAUAGCAUGUUGUCUACUUUGUUUUAAAUUCUAUGAAAUCGAAUGACCCGAUGGAAAAAUAGCACGACCCUGAUGGAAAAAAUAAAAUGUCGCUGAUGGAAAAUAUAUGGUUUUUGAACCUAUACAGUUCGAUAAAUGGGAGGAUGAUGUUGCUGUGACCCUUAAUCGAAUGAAAAUAGAAAGCCUACUUUGUUAUAAAUUCUAUGAAAUAGAAUGACCCGAUGGAAAAAAUAGAAUACCACUUAUGGAAAAAAUAGAAUGUCCCUGAUGGAAAAUAUAUGGUAUUUGAACCUCCACGGUUCGAUAAAUAGUAGGAUGAUGGUACUGUGACCCUUAAUCAAAUGAAAAUAGAAAAACUACUUUGUUUUAAAUUCUAUAAAAUAGAAUGACCCGAUGGAAAAAAUAAAAUGUCCCUGAUGGAAAAUAUAUGAUUGUAUAGUGACACUUAAUCGAAUGAAAAUAGAAAGCCUACUUUGUUUUAAAUUCUAUGAAAUAGAAUGACCCUGAUGGAAAAAAUAGAAUGACCCUGAUGCGAAAAAUAGAAUGUCCCUGAUGGAAAAUAUAUGGUAUUUAAACCUAUACGGUUCUACAAAUGGGAAGAUGAUGAUACUGUGACCCUUAAUGGAAUGAAAAUAGAAAGCCUACUUUGUUUUCAAUUCUAUGAAAUAGAAUGACCCGAUGGAAAAAAUAGAAUAACCCUUAUGGAAAAAAUAGAAUGUCCAUUGAUGGAAAAUAUAUGGUAUUUGAACCUAUACGGUUCGAUAAAUGGUAGGAUGAUGGUACUCUGACACUUAAUCAAAUGAAAAUAGAAAGCCUACUUUGUUUUAAAUUCUAUGAAUUAGAAUGACCCGAUGGAAAAAAUAGAAUGACCCUGAUGGAAAAAAUAGAAUGUACCUGAUGGAAAAUAUAUGGUAUUUGAACCAAUACGGUUUGAUAAAUGGGAUGAUGAUGGUACUGUGACUCUUAAUCGAAUGAAAAUAGAAAGCAUGUUGCCAACUUUGUUUUAAAUUCUAUGAAAUAGAAUGACCCGAUGGAAAAAUAGCAUGACCCUGAUGGAAAAAAUAAAAUGUCGCUGAUGGAAAAUAUAUGGUAUGUGAACCUAUACGGUUAAAUAAAUGAGAGGAUGAUGUUGCUGUGACCAUUAAUCGAAUGAAAAUAGGAAGCCUACUUUGUUAUAAAUUCUAUGAAAUAAAAUGACCCGAUGGAAAAAAUAGAAUAACCCUGAUGAAAAAAAUUGAAUGUCCUUGAUGGUAAAUAUACGGUAUUUGAACCUAUACGGUUCGAUAAAUGGUAGGCUGUUGGUACUGUGACCCUUAAUCGAAUGAAAAUAGAAAGACUACUUUGUUUUAAAUUCUGUAAAAUAGAAUGACCCGAUGAAAAAAAUAAAAUGUCCCUGAUGGAAAAUAUAUGAUUGUACUGUGACACUUAAUCAAAUGAAAAUAGAAAGCCUACUUUGUUUUAAAUUCUAUGAAAUAAAAUGACCCGGUGGAAAAAAUAGAAUGUCCCUGAUGAAAAAUAUAUGGUAUUUGAACCUAUACGGUUCGAUAAAUGGGAGGAUGGUGAUACUGUGACCCUUAAUGGAAUGAAAAUAGAAAGCCUACUUCGUUUUAAAUUCUAUAAAAUAAAAUGACCCGAUGUAAAAAAAUUGAAUAACCCUCAUGGAAAAAAUAGAAUGUCCCUGAUGGUAAAUAUACGGUAUUUGAACCUAUACGGUUCGAUAAAUGGUAGGCUGAUGGUACUGUGACCCUUAAUCGAACGAAAAUAGAAAGACUACUUUGUUUUAAAUGUAAAAUAGAAUGACCCGAUGGAAAAAAUAAAAUGUCCCUGAUGGAAAAAUAUAUGAUUGUACUGUGACACUUAAUCAAAUGAAAAUAGAAAGCCUACUUUGUUUUAAAUUCUAUGAAAUAAAAUGACCCGAUGGAAAAAAUAGAAUGUCCCUUAUGAAAAAUAUAUGGUAUUUGAACCUAUACGAUUCGACAAAUGGGAGGAUGAUGAUACUGUGACCCUUAAUGGAAUGAAAAUAGAAAGCCUACUUUGUUUUCAAUUCUAUAAAAUAGAAAGCCCCGAUGGAAAAAAUAGAAUAACCCUUAUGGAAAAAAUAGAAUGUCCAUUGAUGGAAAAUAUAUGGUAUUUGAACCUAUACGGUUCGAUAAAUGGUAGGAUGAUGGUACUCUGACACUUAAUGAAAUGAAAAUAGAAAGCCUACUUUGUUUUAAAUUCUAUUAAUUAGAAUGACCUGAUGGAAAAAAUAGAAUGACCCUGAUGGAAAAAAUAGAAUGUCCCUUGAUGGAAAAUAUAUGGUGUUUGAACCUAUACGGUUCGAUAAAUUGUAGGAUGAUGGUACUCUGACACUUAAUUAAAUGAAAAUAGAAAGCCUACUUUGUUUUAAAUUCUAAGAAUUAGAAUGACCCGAUGGAAAAAAUAGAAUGACCGUUAUGGAAAAAAUAGAAUGUCCAUGAUGGAAAAUAUAUGGUAUUUGAACAUAUUCGGUUCGAUAAAUGGUAGGAUGAUGGUACUGUGACCCUUAAUAGAAUGAAAAUAGAAAAACUACUUUGUUUUAAAUUCUAUAAAAUAGAAUGAACCGAUGGAAAAAUAAAAGAAUAACCCUUAUGGAAAAAAUUGAUUGUCCCUGAUGAAAAAUAUAUGGUAUUUGAACCAAUACGGUUCGAUAAAUGAUAUGAUGAUGGUACUGUGACCCUUAAUCGAAUGAAAAUAGAAAGACUACUUUGUUUUAAAUUCUAUAUAAUAGUAUGUUUGGAUGGAAAAAAUAGAAUGACCCUGGUGGAAAAAAUAUGGAAAAUAUAUGGUAUUUGAACCAAUACGGUUCGAUAAAUGAGAUGAUGAUGGUACUGUGACUCUUAAUCGAAUGAAAAUAGAAAGCCUGUUGCCUACUUUGUUUUAAAUUCUAUGAAAUAGAAUGACCCGAUGGAAAAAUAGCAUGACCCUGAUGGAGAAAAUAAAAUGUCGCUGAUGGAAAAUAUAUGGUAUGUGAACCUAUACGGUUUGAUAAAUGAGAGGAUGAUGUUGUUGUGACCCUUAAUUGAAUGAAAAUAGAAAGCCUACUUUGUUAUAAAUUCUACGAAAUAGAAUGACCCGAUGGAAAAAAUAGAAUAACCCUUAUGGAAAAAGUUGAAUGUCCAUGAUGGAAAAUAUACGGUAUUUGAACCUAUACGGUUGGAUAAAAGGUAGGAUGAUGGUACUUUGGCCCUUUAUCGAAUGAAAAUAUAAAGACUACUUUGUUUUAAAUUCUAUAAAAUAGAAUGACCCGAUGGAAAAAAUAAAAUGUUCCUGAUGGAAAAUAUAUGAUUGUAUUUUGACACUUUAUCGAAUGAAAAUAGAAAGCCUACUUUGUUUUAAAUACUAUGAAAUUAAAUGACCCGAUGGAAAAAAUAGAAUGUCCCUGAUGAAAAAUAUAUGGUAUUUGAACCUAUACGGUUCGAUAAAUGGGAGAUGGUGAUACUGUGACCCUUAAUCGAAUGAAAAUAGAAAGCCUACUUUGUUUUCAAUUCUAUAAAAUAGAAAGCCCCGAUGGAAAAAAUAGAAUAACCCUAUAGAAAAUAUAUGGUAUUUGAACCUAUACGGUUCGAUAAAUGGUAGUAUGAUGGUACUGUGACCCUUAAUCGAAUAAAAAUUGAAAGACUACUUUUUUUUUAAAUUCUAUAUAAUAGAAUGACCCGGUGGAAAAAAUAGAAUCACCCUGAUGGAAAAAAUAGAAUGUACCUAAUGGAAAAUAUAUGGUAUUUGAACUUAUACGGUUCGAUCAAUGGGAUGAUGAUGGUACUCUGACUCUUAAUGGAAUGAAAAUAGACAGCCUGUUGCCUACUUUGUUUUAAAUUCUAUGAAAUCGAAUGACCCGAUGAAAAAUAGCAUGACCCUGAUGGAAAAAAUAAAAUGUCGCUGAUGGAAAAUAUAUGGUAUUUGAACCUAUACAGUUCGAUAAAUGGGAGGAUGAUGUUGCUGUGACCCUUAAUCGAAUGAAAAUAGAAAGAUUACUUUGUUUUAAAUUCAAUAUAAUAGAAUAACCCGAUCGGAAAAAUAGAAUGGCCCUGAUGGAAAAAAUAGAAUGUCCCUGAUGGAAAAUAUAUGGUAUUUGAACCUAUACGGUUCGAUAAAUGGUAGUAUGAUGGUAUUGUGACCCUUAAUCGAAUGAAAAUAGAAAAACUACUUUGUUUUAAAUUCUAUAAAAUAGAAUGACCCGAUGGAAAAAAUAAAAUGUCCUUGAUGGAAAAUAUAUGAUUGUACUAUGACACUUAAUCGAAUGAAAAUAGAAAGCCUACUUUCUUUUAAAUUCUAUGAAAUAGAAUGACCCGUUCGAAAAAAUAGAAUGACAUUGAUGGAAAAAAUAGAAUGACAUUGAUGGAAAAAAUAGAAUGUCCCUGAUGGAAAAUAUAUGGUAUUUGAACUAUACGGUUUGACAAAUGGGAGCAUGAUGAUACUGUGACUGUUAAUGGAAUGAAAAUAGAAAGCCUACUUUGUUUUCAAUUCUAUAAAAUAGAAAGCCCCGAUGGAAAAAAUAGAAUAACCCUUAUGGAAAAAAUAGAAUGUCCAUUGAUGGAAAAUAUAUGGUAUUUGAACCUAUACGGUUCGAUAAAUGGUAGGAUGAUGGUACUCUGACAUUUAAUC